RNAcentral lists this ribosomal RNA (425 nucleotides) under uncultured bacterium. RNAcentral describes it as "bacterial SSU rRNA". It matches the Rfam family "Bacterial small subunit ribosomal RNA", at positions 356 to 773 of the family's 1533-position model. The record is from RNAcentral.
AGGGAAUCUUCCGCAAUGGACGCAAGUCUGACGGAGCAACGCCGCGUGAGCGAUGAAGGUCUUCGGAUCGUAAAGCUCUGUUGUCAGGGAAGAACAAGUACGAGAGUAACUGCUCGUACCUUGACGGUACCUGACCAGAAAGCCACGGCUAACUACGUGCCAGCAGCCGCGGUAAUACGUAGGUGGCAAGCGUUGUCCGGAAUUAUUGGGCGUAAAGGGCGCGCAGGCGGUCUCUUAAGUCUGAUGUGAAAGCCCACGGCUUAACCGUGGAGGGUCAUUGGAAACUGGGGGACUUGAGUGCAGAAGAGAAGAGUGGAAUUCCAUGUGUAGCGGUGAAAUGCGUAGAGAUAUGGAGGAACACCAGUGGCGAAGGCGACUCUUUGGUCUGUAACUGACGCUGAGGCGCGAAAGCGUGGGGAGCGAAC